This is a long non-coding RNA of Bos taurus (domestic cattle), 1229 nucleotides long. The record is from Ensembl. Lineage: Eukaryota; Metazoa; Chordata; Mammalia; Artiodactyla; Bovidae.
GCAGGGCCCCAGGGAUGUGGUCCCGCAGGUUAGGUUGUAGGAGCGACUAGCAUAAAUAAUCCGGGCGAAAACCUCCUGGAGAGAUCCCAAAAACCAAGGUGACCUGUGUGCGUGGGCGAUCCGUUGGCUGAGUGACAGAAAUGCUGAAGAAAGCCAGGAAGAGGAUCUGCGUGGGAGGUGGAAAAAGCGUGGGCUGAGCUUGCAGCAACCAAAAGGCGCCACACACGUGUGCGAGGAACCCGCGGCGCUCGGUGUGGGCUGACAGGAAGCACCGCCCCACUAGGACACAUCAAGUUUUCUCUUAAGCAGUUUCAAACCCAGCGCGCUUUCCACGUGUAAGUACAAAUGAGAUGGGUGUCAAAUAACCAUAGCGCUUGUUCGGAUUUCUAUCUUUUCUCUUCUUGGGUCUAGCUCCUGUGUAGAGCUUGCCCACCUCUACCACAGCUCUCCCAUUUUCCUAACGCUUUCCUGGGCGGGGUUUCUGGGCCCCGCCCACCGAGGGCCCGCCCAGUAGCCGCCCCGGGGCGGGGCUCCCCUCGGCUCCCGACUGCCCUUUUCCCCUGCGGUCUCUGCCCCGGCUGCUGUGUCUCUACCGAGCUCCGGACACGUGCAGGAGCAUCCAGCCGUGAACUUUCAAGCAGAUGCAGCCCCAGGAUGACUCAAAAGUAGGGCAUCCUUGGCCCUCCUGAAGAGAUGAAAUUAGUGGCAAGUGGACCAUCUAUCUGUAUGGCGUUAUCAGAUCCCAAUCCCUAGAUCCCAAGCACAGUGCCCAGCACAUGGCAAGAACUCUCAGUGUUGGAUAAAAUGACUGACGGCAUGGGAAAGGGUUUCCUGUUUCCUGUUUGUUUCAAGGUUUUGACAGCAGGGUCUGCAAUCAGUGCUUCCAGGCCUCUGUUUUGCAGUCAAUGUUCAAUUCAUGGGGAUACCUUCUGAAAUAAGUAAGAAAACUGUUUCAGGAAUCAUCCAGCAGUUGUCAGCUAUCCAGGCUAGCGUGAUGCCUCAGAUGGUGUUACACUGUUGGAAGAGCAAGCACUGCCUUUAUUGAGGUCUGACUUCAGCACUGUUUUGGUGUUGUGGCUGAGUACCUCUGGGCAGUGUUUUGCACCUCUGAGAGUGGAGUAACUCCUCCUGUGGAGUUGGUCCUAGUCUGGGUGCAAACAGUUUUUUUCUAUUAGAAAAAGACCCUGCCUUAUGGACAGCCUGUCAUUUGUUUCCUCUUUGAAUCCUAG